UAAUCUCUUUGUAUAUCAAACUAUUUAAUUUUAUUUAAAUCUUUAGGCUUCGUUUGGUUCGGGAUUAAGUAAGAACUAGUUAUUCCGGUAAUAGAAAUAAGUUCAGGUGUAAGCUUGGAAUAGAUCAAUUUUGUGUCUGGAUAAAAAUUGAGUUGUUCCCGAGAAUAAGAAAAAUGGCGUUUGGAUAGAUAAGGUGGAAUAAAAAAAAUAGUGGGUAGCUAUAAAUAGAAAAUAAUAAUAUUGCCCCUUAUAUUUGAAUUUAAAUUUUUAAAUUUUAUAUUUAAAAUUUUAAAUUUAAAUAUAUAACUUUAAAAAAAAAUUUAAAAUAAAAUUUUAAAUUUUAAAUAUCAAAUUCAAAAAUUUAAAGUUCUAAAUUUUAAAUUUAAGAUUAAAUUCAAAUUUAAAAAUAUCAAAAUUUAAAUUUAAAAAAUUAAAAAUAAUAAUUUAUAAUUUAUAAUUUAUAAUUAUAAAAAUUAAUUAAGAUUACAAAUUCUUAAAUUUAAAAAAUUUAAAAUUUAAAAUUUAAAUUUAAA
RNAcentral lists this long non-coding RNA (533 nucleotides) under Ananas comosus (pineapple). Its description in RNAcentral is "long non-coding RNA (ACOM_LNC030260)". Lineage: Eukaryota; Viridiplantae; Streptophyta; Magnoliopsida; Poales; Bromeliaceae. The record is from RNAcentral.